This 1389-nucleotide long non-coding RNA is filed under the name Gouania willdenowi (blunt-snouted clingfish). Its description in RNAcentral is "lncRNA (ENSGWIG00000013366.1)". Lineage: Eukaryota; Metazoa; Chordata; Actinopteri; Blenniiformes; Gobiesocidae. The record is from RNAcentral.
AUGUGUGUGCAGACCAAGACUUUCUGCACAUACAACAACAACAAACCCUGGUUCACACCUCAACUCAGGAUGCUGCGUCAGGCUAAGGAGGAAGCCUACAGGAGUGGGGACAGGGACCUGUUCAGGCAGGCAAAGUACACACUAUCCAGGGAGAUCAAAGUAGCCAAGAGGUGCUACACUGAGAAGCUAAAACAAAGCUUCUCAAACAAAGUCCCUUCAGAAGUGUGGAAAGGCCUGCGUGAGGUUACCAACUACAGGAAACCCUCCCCCCACCCUGCAGGUAACAAAAGACUGGCUGAAGACCUGAAUAGCUUUUACUGCAGGUUUUCUCACCCACCCCCCAGCUCAUUAGCAUCAGCCCAUCACCUGGACUCUGCCCUUCCUGCUCCCCCCACUUCCCCCCCUACCUCACCCUCUGACCCCCCACCUACCCUGAAGAUCAAUGAAAGAGAUGUGUGCCAGCUAUUCAAGAGACUAAAGAUCAAAAAGGCUCCAGGACCAGACGGAGUAUCUCCCUCCUGCCUGAAAGCCUGUGCUGAGCAGCUGGCCCCCAUCUUCUCACGGAUCUUCAAUACAUCACUGGAGCUGUGUGAAGUACCAUCCUGCUUCAAAAGCUCCAACAUCAUCCCAGUCCCAAAGAAACCUGCCAUCACAGGACUUAAUGACUAUCGACCCAUUGCCCUGACGUCCGUAGUCAUGAAGUCCUUUGAGAGGCUGGUACUGAGCCACCUGAAGGACAUCACAGGUCCCCUGCUGGACCCCCUGCAGUUUGCCUAUCGGGCAAACAGGUCUGUCGAGGAUGCAGUCAACAUGGGACUGAACUACAUCCUGCAUCACCUCGACUCCCCAGGGACCUACGCUAGGAUCCUGUUUGUGGAUUUCAGCUCUGCGUUCAACACCAUCAUCCCGGACAUCCUUCACCAGAAACUCACCCAGCUCACAGUGCCGGCCUCCCAACUUCCAACUUCCAACUUCCUGACUGACAGGAAGCAGCAAGUAAGGCUGGGAGGCAUCACAUCCAGCACCCGGUCACUCAGCACUGGCGCCCCUCAGGGGUGUGUUCUCUCCCCACUGCUAUUCUCCCUCUACACCAAUGACUGCACCUCAGGGGACCCCUCUGUGAAACUCCUGAAGUUUGCAGACGACACCACCGUCAUCGGUCUCAUCAGGGAUGGGGACGAGUCUGCCUUCAGACGGGAGGUGGAACAGCUGGCUCUCUGGUGCAGUCAGAACCACCUGGAACUGAACCCACUCAAGACUGUGGAGAUGACAGUGGACUUCAGGAGAAAUCCCCCCCCACUCACCCCCCUUACCAUUCUGAACAGCAAAGUGGCUACAGUGGACUCCUUCAGGUUCCUGGGAUCCACAAUCUCUCAGGACCUGAAGUAG